Molecule: long non-coding RNA, 1062 nt
Filed under: Erythranthe guttata (spotted monkey flower)
Lineage: Eukaryota; Viridiplantae; Streptophyta; Magnoliopsida; Lamiales; Phrymaceae
Description: long non-coding RNA (EGUT_LNC002927)
Source: RNAcentral
GGCUAAAUACAGUUUACACCCCUGAUGUAUGGGCCUUGUAACACUUACCCCCUAAUGUAUGAGAUGUACCACUUUCCCCCUUAGAGUUUUAGUUAAACGGUCAAACCUUGACGCCGUUAAAUUAAUCAGCCAAAUACCUAAAUAGCCCUCCAAUGCAAAAUACGGUGUUAAAGCAAACAGUCUCUUCGCCUUCUAGCAAAGAAACGUCUUCUGCCUCUCCCAAGAAAGAAAUCUGGCUCACUCGAUUUUUCUCAAUAAUGUUUGAAGGAUAAUUUUUGCUACAAGCGUUGGCCCAGGUUAGUUAAAUUUAGCCAUGGUAGUAUCAUUUACCAGUUUUAUGUGGGUUCAAAGUUUUCGAGAUAAUUUCUAUUUUAUUGCUAUUAUACUUUAUUUGAAAGUAGAUUGACAUUAUCGCAUACAUUAGAAUUGGGAAACUUUUUGUAUUUGCAAAAGUUUCGAAAAGAUUGUGUUGUAAAAAGUAUGGUUUUCAAUAAUGUUGAGUGAAUUUUGCAUGGGUAAUACAUUAUUUGACUUUGAUAAAUUGUCUCUGUUAGUUGUUAUUUAAUAGGUUUUUUGUGUUGAAAAAAAAUGUUUUGCAUUUUAUAUUAGGUUUUUUUUUUUGUUUUUUUCCUAUGCAAAUAUAUGUCUUUAUGUAUUUCGUAUGACUUAUACAAGCCAUUUUUAGUAAUAAAAAUGUUUGCUUUUGUUUGUAAUUUUUGGGUUUUUUUUGCCAUGCGAUUGUUGAUCAAAAGAUAGGUUCCAUAUUUAUUUAAUCCUGUUAUGUUGACUGCAUAUUUUCUAUAGUUUGUGUAAUUGAGCAAUUCUUUGUUUUUUCAUUGUGGUUACAGGAAAAUAUGGUAAUUCCACAAAUACCACAUGUGGUAGAAGGAGGAACUAGGAUGGAGGAUAUUGAUGAUGACGGCGAUUCUACUUAUAUGCCUGAAAGUGAAAGUGAAAGUGGGAGUGAUAUAGUUUCCGACUUUGAGUAUUUUGCUGAGAGUGAUAGCCUAAGUGACACAUGUGAUCCAAUAGGUGAUGAAUUCGAGCACAUGAAUAACUUCA